Molecule: unclassified non-coding RNA, 211 nt
Filed under: Hevea brasiliensis (rubber tree)
Lineage: Eukaryota; Viridiplantae; Streptophyta; Magnoliopsida; Malpighiales; Euphorbiaceae
Source: RNAcentral
GUCACUUGAUAGCUUGAAAUCCUAGAGGAUUGCUCUGUAUUGUGUAUAGCUUUUCUGUGGUGUGGCCAUGUAGUACUAUAUGUUCAUGACUAGCUAUUGUAAACCGAAGUUUAACUGGGGAAAGAUCUUUCUGUAUCCUCCAGCUUGUGCCUUGUGGGCUGAAACGGUUGGCUCUGAUUAUGUCUAGUUUUCUGCUAAUAGAAAAUCACAU